CCCUGAUGCAGCGACGCAGCGUGCGGGAUGACGGCCUUCGGGUUGUAAACCGCUUUCAGCAGGGAAGAAGCGAAAGUGACGGUACCUGCAGAAGAAGUACCGGCUAACUACGUGCCAGCAGCCGCGGUAAUACGUAGGGUACGAGCGUUGUCCGGAAUUAUUGGGCGUAAAGAGCUCGUAGGUGGUUGGUCACGUCUGCUGUGGAAACGCAACGCUUAACGUUGCGCGUGCAGUGGGUACGGGCUGACUAGAGUGCAGUAGGGGAGUCUGGAAUUCCUGGUGUAGCGGUGAAAUGCGCAGAUAUCAGGAGGAACACCGGUGGCGAAGGCGGGACUCUGGGCUGUAACUGACACUGAGGAGCGAAAGCAUGGGGAGCGAACAGGAUUAGAUACCCUGGUAGUCCAUGCCGUAAACGUUGGGCACUAGGUGUGGGGGACAUUCCACGUUCUCCGCGCCGUAGCUAACGCAUUAAGUGCCCCGCCUGGGGAGUACGGUCGCAAGGCUAAAACUCAAAGGAAUUGACGGGGGCCCGCACAA
This 537-nucleotide ribosomal RNA is filed under the name Brevibacterium sp. MN34. RNAcentral describes it as "bacterial SSU rRNA". It matches the Rfam family "Bacterial small subunit ribosomal RNA", at positions 381 to 928 of the family's 1533-position model. Lineage: Bacteria; Bacillati; Actinomycetota; Actinomycetes; Micrococcales; Brevibacteriaceae. The record is from RNAcentral.